RNAcentral lists this ribosomal RNA (1538 nucleotides) under Parabacteroides distasonis. RNAcentral's name for it is "bacterial SSU rRNA". It matches the Rfam family "Bacterial small subunit ribosomal RNA". Lineage: Bacteria; Pseudomonadati; Bacteroidota; Bacteroidia; Bacteroidales; Tannerellaceae. The record is from RNAcentral.
CAAUUUAAACAACGAAGAGUUUGAUCCUGGCUCAGGAUGAACGCUAGCGACAGGCUUAACACAUGCAAGUCGAGGGGCAGCGGGGGUAGCGAUACCCGCCGGCGACCGGCGCACGGGUGAGUAACGCGUAUGCAACUUGCCUAUCAGAGGGGGAUAACCCGGCGAAAGUCGGACUAAUACCGCAUGAAGCAGGGAUCCCGCAUGGGAAUAUUUGCUAAAGAUUCAUCGCUGAUAGAUAGGCAUGCGUUCCAUUAGGCAGUUGGCGGGGUAACGGCCCACCAAACCGACGAUGGAUAGGGGUUCUGAGAGGAAGGUCCCCCACAUUGGUACUGAGACACGGACCAAACUCCUACGGGAGGCAGCAGUGAGGAAUAUUGGUCAAUGGCCGAGAGGCUGAACCAGCCAAGUCGCGUGAGGGAUGAAGGUUCUAUGGAUCGUAAACCUCUUUUAUAAGGGAAUAAAGUGCGGGACGUGUCCCGUUUUGUAUGUACCUUAUGAAUAAGGAUCGGCUAACUCCGUGCCAGCAGCCGCGGUAAUACGGAGGAUCCGAGCGUUAUCCGGAUUUAUUGGGUUUAAAGGGUGCGUAGGCGGCCCCUUAAGUCAGCGGUGAAAGUCUGUGGCUCAACCAUAGAAUUGCCGUUGAAACUGGGAGGCUUGAGUAUGUUUGAGGCAGGUGGAAUGCGUGGUGUAGCGGUGAAAUGCAUAGAUAUCACGCAGAACCCCGAUUGCGAAGGCAGCCUGCCAAGCCAUUACUGACGCUGAUGCACGAAAGCGUGGGGAUCAAACAGGAUUAGAUACCCUGGUAGUCCACGCAGUAAACGAUGAUCACUAGCUGUUUGCGAUACACUGUAAGCGGCACAGCGAAAGCGUUAAGUGAUCCACCUGGGGAGUACGCCGGCAACGGUGAAACUCAAAGGAAUUGACGGGGGCCCGCACAAGCGGAGGAACAUGUGGUUUAAUUCGAUGAUACGCGAGGAACCUUACCCGGGUUUGAACGCAUUUCGACAGCUCUGGAAACAGAGUCUCUAGCGAUAGCGAUUUGCGAGGUGCUGCAUGGUUGUCGUCAGCUCGUGCCGUGAGGUGUCGGCUUAAGUGCCAUAACGAGCGCAACCCUUGCCACUAGUUACUAACAGGUAAAGCUGAGGACUCUGGUGGGACUGCCAGCGUAAGCUGCGAGGAAGGCGGGGAUGACGUCAAAUCAGCACGGCCCUUACAUCCGGGGCGACACACGUGUUACAAUGGCGUGGACAAAGGGAGGCCACCUGGUGACAGGGAGCGAAUCCCCAAACCACGUCUCAGUUCGGAUCGGAGUCUGCAACCCGACUCCGUGAAGCUGGAUUCGCUAGUAAUCGCGCAUCAGCCAUGGCGCGGUGAAUACGUUCCCGGGCCUUGUACACACCGCCCGUCAAGCCAUGGGAGCCGGGGGUACCUGAAGUCCGUAACCGCGAGGAUCGGCCUAGGGUAAAACUGGUGACUGGGGCUAAGUCGUAACAAGGUAGCCGUACCGGAAGGUGCGGCUGGAACACCUCCUUUCUGGA